AAACAUAAAAAAAAAAAAAAAAAAAAGGAAUGGAUAAAUUAUUAUUAUUUUUUUUAUCGUGGCGAAACCGGUUGCCAUAUAGUAUACCUUCGGAUUGUAAAGUUUUGAUAGCUUUUCAAGCACUUUUCUAGAAAUGUUGAAAGAUUACAUAGUGAAGCAAAGCAUAUUUACUGAGAGGAAAAACAAGAUCAACUUAAUGGUUAUACAAAAAGAAUAUUGCCUGGAUGAGCAAGUCUACUGUAUCUGCUGUAGCUCAGACGGACCCAUGGACCCACUACUGUGGUGAAUGCAUUCCUUUUUAUUAUGUGUCUUGUAUUAAAUUUUGUCUUUGACAGUAACGUAAGAAGAGGAAAUUGUUGGAAAACCCAUCUUGAAUGAAGCCAAAUAUUCCUAUGUUAAUGUUUGAGAGCCCAGCCUGUGAAAUAAUAAUACCCCCUGUUCUAGCUAGAAAAGGCAAGAAGAAGACAUUGUUCCUUUGCUAUAUCUGGGGACCACCAUAACAGCACAUCACAGCACCAGAAUACAGAAGAGUCCUGUUUUGUACUUUUGACAUAUUGCUUCAAUGGAGUUAGUACGGGAAAACAACACUGACAGGCCAUAGUUAAAAGCUAGAUUUUCGAAAUUUCUUCUCCCGUUCUCACUUCUGAGAUAGACUACUGAUCAUCUUGAUAAAUUUUAAUUUUGGUUUUAGAAAAACCGGGCUUUUGUAUUAGAACAUGAAUAUUUCAUUAGCAUCUCGAAAAUCUUAUUUGUUUUUUUAUUUUAUAUUUGAAGUUUCGUAAAUAUUGCCUGCUUUUGAUGUACAUCUGAAAAAUUGUCAAUUCAAAUAGUAAGAUUCAAAAGUCAAUUGUCAAAUAGUAAUAA
RNAcentral lists this long non-coding RNA (864 nucleotides) under Daphnia magna. RNAcentral's name for it is "uncharacterized LOC116923764, transcript variant X3". The record is from RNAcentral. Lineage: Eukaryota; Metazoa; Arthropoda; Branchiopoda; Diplostraca; Daphniidae.